This 253-nucleotide ribosomal RNA is filed under the name uncultured bacterium. RNAcentral's name for it is "partial 16S ribosomal RNA". It matches the Rfam family "Bacterial small subunit ribosomal RNA", at positions 524 to 776 of the family's 1533-position model. The record is from RNAcentral.
UACGGAGGGUGCAAGCGUUAUCCGGAUUCACUGGGUUUAAAGGGUGCGUAGGUGGGUUCGUAAGUCAGUGGUGAAAUCUCCGAGCUUAACUUGGAAACUGCCAUUGAUACUAUGAGUCUUGAAUAUUGUGGAGGUCAGCGGAAUAUGUCAUGUAGCGGUGAAAUGCUUAGAUAUGACAUAGAACACCAAUUGCGAAGGCAGCUUACUACGGAUUGAUUGACACUGAGGCACGAAAGCGUGGGGAUCAAACAGG